This 864-nucleotide unclassified non-coding RNA is filed under the name uncultured fungus. Its description in RNAcentral is "sequence contains 18S rRNA gene, ITS1, 5.8S rRNA gene, ITS2, 28S rRNA gene". Lineage: Eukaryota; Fungi. The record is from RNAcentral.
GCGUCAAGUCUGAUUGCUGCGCAAAAUUCGCAACAAGCCUGUCACCCCAGACAGGCUUUCGGAGCAACGGAGGUUCGAGACCUGAGAUUUGGCAUCGUUUCCUGAAAUCGAUUCCGGCUUUCGUGGCCGAUGCGCCGAGGGCCGUUCGCGACAUCGGCGACCGGCGCGAUAGCGUUGCUCAGGUGACGGCUGGCACGGCUACCAACUGAAGGAAGACGAGGCUGGCAGCAUGGCCAUGCGCCAGCCUCCGUCCCCGGCUCACCCCCCAGCAAGCCCCGACAGCCUGACUCCUGUUGAACACGGUGCGCGAAAUCGACUUCAGCCCCACAUGGAUGGCGAUGCGUACACGUAAAACCGCCGCCGCUUUUCACGACGGUUGAGUGCCGCCGAACUACGCUUCCACCUACGGUCGUUCGCCUCCCGCGCCAACCGCAUCCGUCAGAUGCCGAUGAGAUAUCAUUCGACGGAAGGGCUUCAAAGUCAACCAUAGACUGCGGCUUCUACUUCAUGCAACUUUAUGGUUCUAUUCCCGAGCGCCUGAUUGCACGUCUUUCCCGCUUUGCCUAGGCCGUUCGCCCUGCUAAAGGCGCGGGCCAUGACCACACCGCUCAAGAACAUCCGCAACUUUUCCAUUGUCGCUCAUAUCGACCACGGCAAGUCUACGCUGGCCGACCGCCUGAUCCAGUUGACCGGAGGGCUGGAAAGCCGCGAGAUGAAGGAGCAGGUGCUCGACAACAUGGAUAUCGAGCGCGAGCGCGGCAUCACGAUCAAGGCGCAAACGGUGCGCCUGAACUACAAGGCGAAGGACGGGCAGGACUAUAUUCUGAACCUGAUCGACACGCCCGGCCAUGUCGACUUCGCCUA